CCCCUGGUAGCUCAGUGGUAAAGAGUCGGUCUGCAAUGCAGGAGACCCAGGUUCAAUUCCUGGGUGGGGAA
Molecule: transfer RNA, 71 nt
Filed under: Ovis aries (sheep)
Lineage: Eukaryota; Metazoa; Chordata; Mammalia; Artiodactyla; Bovidae
Rfam family: tRNA
About the family: Transfer RNA (tRNA) molecules are approximately 80 nucleotides in length. Their secondary structure includes four short double-helical elements and three loops (D, anti-codon, and T loops).
Source: Rfam by way of RNAcentral